CCUACGUGUGGCAGCAGUGAGGAAUAUUGGUCAAUGGGCGUAAGCCUGAACCAGCCAAGUCGCGUGAGGGACGACGGCCCUACGGGUUGUAAACCUCUUUUGCCGGGGGACAAACGGCGGCACGCGUGCCGUCCUGAGGGUACCCGGAGAAAAAGCAUCGGCUAACUCCGUGCCAGCAGCCGCGGUAAUACGGAGGAUGCGAGCGUUAUCCGGAUUUAUUGGGUUUAAAGGGUGCGUAGGCGGAAUGCCAAGUCAGCGGUAAAAUCGCGGGGCUCAACCUCGCUCCGCCGUUGAAACUGGCGUUCUUGAGUGGGCGAGAAGUAUGCGGAAUGCGUGGUGUAGCGGUGAAAUGCAUAGAUAUCACGCAGAACUCCGAUUGCGAAGGCAGCAUACCGGCGCCCAACUGACGCUGAAGCACGAAAGCGUGGGUAUCGAACAGGAUUAGAUACCCGAGUAGUC
This 459-nucleotide ribosomal RNA is filed under the name uncultured bacterium. RNAcentral's name for it is "partial 16S ribosomal RNA". It matches the Rfam family "Bacterial small subunit ribosomal RNA", at positions 338 to 795 of the family's 1533-position model. The record is from RNAcentral.